GUUGAGGUCAGUGGGCUGACUGUGAACGCUCUGAGAGACUCUGGGUUGAGGUCAGUGGGCUGACUGUGAACGCUCUGAGAGACUCUGGGUUGAGGUCAGUGGGCUGACUGUGAAGGCUCUGAGAGACUCUGGGUUGAGGUCAGUGGGCUGACUGUGAACGCUCUGAGAGACUCUGGGUUGAGGUCAGUGGGCUGACUGUGAACUCUCUGAGAGACUCUGGGUUGAGGUCUGAGAGACUCUGGGUUGAGGUCAGUGGGCUGACUGUGAACUCUCUGAGAGACUCUGGGUUGAGGUCAGUGGGCUGACUGUGAAGGCUCUGAGAGACUCUGGGUUGAGGUCAGUGGGCUGACUGUGAACGCUCUGAGAGACUGGGUUGAGGUCAGUGAUAAAGUUUUUGUUUGUUAUGUUGUCGUAGUUGUGCCUAUGGGGGGCAUAUGGCGGAGGGAAUGCUGUUACCUCCAGGUAGGUGUUUGUCCCCCUGUGUGCUGAAGGUGUCAGGUUCUUGUCCAGUUCUAGAAUUUAGUUCGCCACAAACUAGUACAUGUCCCUGGGCCUGAAUAUGGUUGAUCUCCCGAUCUAGGAUGGAGAAGCUGUUAAAUUAGGGGGAUAUAGAUAUAGG
This is a long non-coding RNA of Oncorhynchus keta (chum salmon), 619 nucleotides long. RefSeq lists it as uncharacterized. The transcript is spliced from 3 exons. The record is from RefSeq and is a predicted model, not a curated record. NCBI's taxonomy places the organism in Eukaryota, Metazoa, Chordata, Actinopteri, Salmoniformes, Salmonidae.